This 370-nucleotide ribosomal RNA is filed under the name uncultured bacterium. RNAcentral's name for it is "bacterial SSU rRNA". It matches the Rfam family "Bacterial small subunit ribosomal RNA", at positions 527 to 896 of the family's 1533-position model. The record is from RNAcentral.
AGAGGGUGCAAGCGUUAAUCGGAAUUACUGGGCGUAAAGCGUGUGUAGGUGGUUUGCUAAGUCAGGUGUGAAAUCCCUGGGCUCAACCUAGGAAUUGCACUUGAUACUGGCAGGCUCGAGUGUGGUAGAGGAUAGUGGAAUUCCCUGUGUAGCGGUGAAAUGCGUAGAUAUCGGGAGGAACAUCAGUGGCGAAGGCGGCUAUCUGGACUAACACUGACACUGAGACACGAAAGCGUGGGGAGCAAACAGGAUUAGAUACCCUGGUAGUCCACGCCUUAAACGAUGGGCACUAGUUGUCGGGAAGUUUAACUUCUUGGUGACGCAGCUAACGCAAUAAGUGCCCCGCCUGGGGAGUACGGCCGCAAGGUUA